This 262-nucleotide ribosomal RNA is filed under the name Escherichia marmotae. Its description in RNAcentral is "partial 23S ribosomal RNA". It matches the Rfam family "Bacterial large subunit ribosomal RNA", at positions 1085 to 1345 of the family's 2925-position model. Lineage: Bacteria; Pseudomonadati; Pseudomonadota; Gammaproteobacteria; Enterobacterales; Enterobacteriaceae. The record is from RNAcentral.
CCAGACAGCCAGGAUGUUGGCUUAGAAGCAGCCAUCAUUUAAAGAAAGCGUAAUAGCUCACUGGUCGAGUCGGCCUGCGCGGAAGAUGUAACGGGGCUAAACCAUGCACCGAAGCUGCGGCAGCGACGCUUAUGCGUUGUUGGGUAGGGGAGCGUUCUGUAAGCCGUUGAAGGUGUGCUGUGAGGCAUGCUGGAGGUAUCAGAAGUGCGAAUGCUGACAUAAGUAACGAUAAAGCGGGUGAAAAGCCCGCUCGCCGGAAGAC